RNAcentral lists this long non-coding RNA (221 nucleotides) under Salvia miltiorrhiza (redroot sage). Its description in RNAcentral is "long non-coding RNA (SMIL_LNC001142)". The record is from RNAcentral. Lineage: Eukaryota; Viridiplantae; Streptophyta; Magnoliopsida; Lamiales; Lamiaceae.
UAUAUAAUUAAUUGAUUGAUAGAUUAUAUUGUAAACAUUCAAUCUUAUGAUAAGACGUGGAAAGCUAAAUAAAUCUACGUAAUUUUAAUUUUGUAGCCGUGGUAACGAAAACCGAAGAUGAGAAAAUGAUAAACGAAAACCCUAGCGAGCAACGAUAAACCCAAACAGAACGUGUCGCUUACUGCUAAUGCUGCGCCAAUACUCUAUUCUCCCAAUUUCUU